CCUACGGGAGGCAGCAGUGAGGAAUAUUGGUCAAUGGACGCAAGUCUGAACCAGCCAUGCCGCGUGCAGGAUGACGGCUCUAUGAGUUGUAAACUGCUUUUGUACGAGGGUAAACCCCGAUACGUGUAUCGGGUUGAAAGUAUCGUACGAAUAAGGAUCGGCUAACUCCGUGCCAGCAGCCGCGGUAAUACGGAGGAUCUGAGCGUUAUCCGGAUUAUUUGGGUUUAAAGGGUGCGUAGGGGGUGUGUAAAGUUAUAGGUGAAAUGUGGGGGCUCAACCCUGAAACUGCCUCAAAAACUGUUGAACUAGAGAAUGGUUGCGGUAGGCGGAAUGUAUGGUGUAGGGGUGAAAUGCUUAGAGAUCAUACAGAACACCGAUUGCGAAGGCAGCUUACCAA
This 397-nucleotide ribosomal RNA is filed under the name uncultured bacterium. RNAcentral's name for it is "partial 16S ribosomal RNA". It matches the Rfam family "Bacterial small subunit ribosomal RNA", at positions 338 to 732 of the family's 1533-position model. The record is from RNAcentral.